AUCGCUUCUCGGCCUUUUGGCUAAGAUCAAAGUGUAGUAUCUGUUCUUAUCAGCUUAAUCUCUGGUACGGUCUCCAUAGGGGACCCAGAAGAUUAAACUGAUUUUUGGAAAAUGACGGAGUGCUAGGGGCUUGCUCCACCUCUGUCGCGGGUUGACCCGGUAUUGCAGUACCUCCGGGAACGGCCCACCUUAA
Molecule: small nuclear RNA, 193 nt
Filed under: Rhodnius prolixus
Lineage: Eukaryota; Metazoa; Arthropoda; Insecta; Hemiptera; Reduviidae
Description: U2 spliceosomal RNA
Rfam family: U2 spliceosomal RNA
About the family: U2 is a small nuclear RNA (snRNA) component of the spliceosome (involved in pre-mRNA splicing). Complementary binding between U2 snRNA (in an area lying towards the 5' end but 3' to hairpin I) and the branchpoint sequence (BPS) of the intron results the bulging out of an unpaired adenosine, on the BPS, which initiates a nucleophilic attack at the intronic 5' splice site, thus starting the first of two transesterification reactions that mediate splicing.
Source: Rfam by way of RNAcentral